AUGAUCCUACGGGGGGCAGCAGUGAGGAAUAUUGGGCAAUGGGCGCGAGCCUGAACCAGCCAAGUAGCGUGAAGGAUGACUGCCCUACGGGUUGUAAACUUCUUUUAUAAAGGAAUAAAGUGAGGCACGUGUGCCUUUUUGUAUGUACUUUAUGAAUAAGGAUCGGCUAACUCCGUGCCAGCAGCUGCGGUAAUACGGAGGAUCCGAGCGUUAUCCGGAUUUAUUGGGUUUAAGGGGAGCGUAGAUGGGUUGUUAAGUCAGUUGUGAAGGUUUGCGGCUCAACCGUAUCAUUGCAAUUGAUACUG
RNAcentral lists this ribosomal RNA (305 nucleotides) under uncultured bacterium. RNAcentral's name for it is "bacterial SSU rRNA". It matches the Rfam family "Bacterial small subunit ribosomal RNA", at positions 333 to 635 of the family's 1533-position model. The record is from RNAcentral.